This 88-nucleotide transfer RNA is filed under the name Gammaproteobacteria bacterium. RNAcentral's name for it is "tRNA-Ser". It matches the Rfam family "tRNA". From Rfam's summary of the family: Transfer RNA (tRNA) molecules are approximately 80 nucleotides in length. The record is from RNAcentral. RNAcentral also lists the same sequence under 2 other names. Lineage: Bacteria; Pseudomonadati; Pseudomonadota; Gammaproteobacteria.
GGAGAGCUGGCCGAGUGGCUGAAGGCGCGCCCCUGCUAAGGGCGUAUACGGCAACGUAUCGAGGGUUCGAAUCCCUCGCUCUCCGCCA